CCCCUCUUUUCGGCGGGCUUUGGGACCUGGCUCCCUAUCCGGGCUGCCAACUGCGCCGCCCUCCUGUACAUUUGAACUUGGCGCGCGCGCCCAGCCUUCAACCUUCCUCUCGACCGUUUCCUCGCUCCCCGAUGGAGGCGUGGCCAAUCCUGACUCAGGUCCUCCCCCUGGCAGUGCGCCGCCUGAUCCCGAUGCCUGGGACCCCUCCCCCCUCCGGCACGCUGGUGUGGACGCUGGUCCUGAUUUCCAACUGCUGCUCUCUGAGUCCCCUCUGGCCCCUUCUUCCUGGGGUGUCCCCCUCGGCACCCCCCUUGCUCUGACCAAGGGAGCCCCUUUCUGUGAAUCUUCCGAUUCGCUGGAAAGACUCAGAGACCUCGGACCGCUGUCAUCGCUAACAUUUCCUUCGGACUCCUCCCCCUCGCUCUCUAUUUCCUCCCUUUCCUGUGCCUCUGCUCCUGAACCCCUGACAUCAUGUUUUUAAUAUUCUGCUGGGAGCUGCCCAGAGUGGCUUGGGAAACCCAGCCAGAUGAGUGGGGUAUAAAUAAUAAAUCAUUAUUAUUAUUAUUAUUAUUAUUAUUAUUAUUCCAUCCACUGGCGCAAGCUGACCUGCCUUUUUCUUGUCUGCAGCUCCUGUCAAACUGUAGGAAUUCAAGCCAAAAUAAUCCAGUAACUUCCUCAUAUCCUUAUCUCGGAUUGUAACCGUAUUGGAUUUGGAAAUUGUUUCUAUAUAUGAAAUAUAUAAGGGUCUGGAAACCAAGCCUUACGAGGAGCGUUUGAAGGAGCUGGUCAUGUUUAGCCUGCAAAAGAGGAGACUGAGAGCUGAUACGAUAGCCAUCUUCAAAUACCUGAAGGGCUGUCACAUGGAAGAGAGAACAGGCUUGUUUUCUCCUGCUCUGCAGGGUAGGAUUCGAACCAAUGGCUUCAAGUUCCAAGAAAGGAGAUUCCAACUAAACAUGGUCGGACAAACGCCGGCUCCCUCGUCCUGAAAGCGAGAUGAGCGCCACAACCCCAUAGUCGCCUUUGAUUGGACUCAACUGUCCAGGGGUCCUUUACCUUUACCUUUUCCUCUUUUGCCCAACAUAGAAGCCAACUUCUAGGGGCCAUGGGGGCUUUGACUCCCAUAAGAAAAUAUUUGAGAGGGCCAGGCCCCCACAAAGUUGAUGGGCGUUCCCAUUCAAAUGGUGUGCAUGCACUGCGUCAUGUGAUUGAUUAUGUGGGGCAGGGCUUACUUGGGUCCCCACAAUAUUUUAUUCAAGUUGGCACCGCUGUUGCGGCUCAAACCCACAACCCUCAGAUUAAGAGUCUCGUGCUCUACCACCUGAACUGCUCUUUAUCGCUGCUGCAUUUUGAAUCACUUUGAGAUGUUGCAUAGGAAACAAUCCAUUUGUGGAAUUGAAUAAAAAUAAAUAAAAUAGCAAUUCCCAAUAAGCAAUUCAGACCGGAGCAUGAAGGAAUUCCCAACAGUUUAAAGAGCCAGUUUCUGCGUCAAGUGGAGCCCACCAAAUCAGUUACAGACAUUGCCCUGUAUACCAGCCCAGCCCCGUGCUUUGAGAACAAUGCUUUCCUGAAAACAUUUAUAUAUUUGUUCAUCCAUUCAUUUGAUUUAUUGGACAUGUAAGAAGAGGAGGCUUGCAAAAUUCCGAAAGCCUAAAGCAUGACGGAAAACCAGGGGAGAAAAAAAAAUGCAAAUAAAAGCCAUGCAGUAACCUCUAAAACAAAGCCAGUAAAAUAGUGGAAAACUCCAGCAGCAAAAACGUACCAUCGACAAACAGCAAAAUCAUCAUAAUCCAUCUAACGCCUGGGUGAAGAGAUAAGUCUCCACCUGGUGCCAAAAGGAUGUUAAUGAUGGUGCCAGGAGGACAAAAUUAUUAUAACAAUAUCAGGCUGGUGUACUUUGUUCUAAGCGCAUUGUAAGGAUCUGGGAGUAUUUCGACGGAGCUACACUCCUGAGAAAAAAGCAGGGCAUAUUGUGAGAUUUGGCUAGAUGAAGACAUUAUCUCAUGGGGAGAAAAUGGGUGUUCGGAUUAACCUCUCAUGCGUUCAAAAC
Molecule: long non-coding RNA, 2047 nt
Filed under: Podarcis lilfordi (Lilford's wall lizard)
Lineage: Eukaryota; Metazoa; Chordata; Lepidosauria; Squamata; Lacertidae
Source: RNAcentral